This 253-nucleotide ribosomal RNA is filed under the name uncultured bacterium. RNAcentral's name for it is "partial 16S ribosomal RNA". It matches the Rfam family "Bacterial small subunit ribosomal RNA", at positions 524 to 776 of the family's 1533-position model. The record is from RNAcentral.
UACGGAGGAUCCAAGCGUUAUCCGGAUUUAUUGGGUUUAAAGGGUGCGUAGGCGGCUUAUUAAGUCAGGGGUGAAAGACGGUGGCUCAACCAUCGCAGUGCCCUUGAUACUGAUGAGCUUGAAUACACUUGAGGUAGGCGGAAUGUGACAAGUAGCGGUGAAAUGCAUAGAUAUGUCACAGAGCACCAAUUGCGAAGGCAGCUUACUAAGGUGCAAUUGACGCUGAGGCACGAAAGCGUGGGGAUCAAACAGG